AGAGUUUGAUCCUGGCUCAGGAUGAACGCUAGCGGCAGGCUUAACACAUGCAAGUCGAGGGGCAGCAUGAAGGUUAGCAAUAACCUUUGAUGGCGACCGGCGCAAGGGUGCGUAACGCGUGAGCAACUUGCCCUUAUCAGGGGGAUAACCAUUGGAAACGGUGACUAAUACCCCAUAGUAUACUUUUAAGGCAUCUUUUGAGUAUUAAAGAAUUUCGGAUAAGGAUAGGCUCGCGUGACAUUAGCUAGAUGGCGGGGUAACGGCCCACCAUGGCGACGAUGUCUAGGGGUUCUGAGAGGAAGGUCCCCCACACUGGAACUGAGACACGGUCCAGACUCCUACGGGAGGCAGCAGUGAGGAAUAUUGGUCAAUGGUCUGACGACUGAACCAGCCAUGCCGCGUGAAGGUCACGGCCCUAUGGGUCUUAAACUUCUUUUGUAAGGGAGCAAUAAGUUUCCACGCGUGGAGCGAUGAGAGUACCUUACGAAUAAGCAUCGGCUAACUCCGUGCCAGCAGCCGCGGU
RNAcentral lists this ribosomal RNA (523 nucleotides) under uncultured bacterium. RNAcentral's name for it is "bacterial SSU rRNA". It matches the Rfam family "Bacterial small subunit ribosomal RNA", at positions 8 to 521 of the family's 1533-position model. The record is from RNAcentral.